GGAAGGAUCAUUCACAUGGCCAUC
Molecule: non-coding RNA, 24 nt
Filed under: Arabidopsis thaliana (thale cress)
Lineage: Eukaryota; Viridiplantae; Streptophyta; Magnoliopsida; Brassicales; Brassicaceae
Source: RNAcentral